This is a long non-coding RNA of Mytilus californianus (California mussel), 482 nucleotides long. RefSeq lists it as uncharacterized. The record is from RefSeq and is a predicted model, not a curated record. NCBI's taxonomy places the organism in Eukaryota, Metazoa, Mollusca, Bivalvia, Mytilida, Mytilidae. The transcript has 3 exons.
CAUGUUCGUGGAGCUUUAUAUCAUUUGACACGCGAGUAAAAUAAAUUAUCUAAAAAUGAAUAAAUAAAUGGGAGCAUUGUCACUUGUCAUUAUUUCUUUGGAUAUAUCUACCUCGAGACGAUGUCGAAAUUAGCUGGAUUAUUACUGUGUAAUUUUUGUGUUCUAUUUUUCUUCAUUACUACUGUCAGUGGUGCAAUACCAAAGUGCAGAUUGGUGUGCCCGACCUUACCUCCAGAUACAUUCGGCACUUGUGAUGAACGAUGCGGGUCAGGCUGUGGUUAUGGUAGUCUAUGUUGUUCUAACGGGUGUGGUCAUCUUUGCAAAAAAGGCAUUAGGAAAUGCAAUUAAACCUCCUUAAAACGAUAUCAUUUAUAUGGUCAUUAAUCAUGUUGAUACAAACAAAGGAUGGACAAAAUGAAUGUUACAGAAUAAUUAAAUUUCAAGUUUACUUAAAAUGUUCUUCAAUAAAGAUAUUUGCUAAA